Molecule: long non-coding RNA, 14097 nt
Filed under: Cucumis sativus (cucumber)
Lineage: Eukaryota; Viridiplantae; Streptophyta; Magnoliopsida; Cucurbitales; Cucurbitaceae
Description: long non-coding RNA (CSAT_LNC001746)
Source: RNAcentral
UGAAACAUGGCAUUGGAGGUUACGCAAGUUCUUCUGAAUGCACAGUCUAUCGAUGCAACUGUGAGGAAGCAGGCAGAAGACAGUUUGAGGCAAUUUCAGGAGCAAAACCUUCCCAGUUUUUUGCUGUCUCUCUCUAAUGAAUUAGGAAGCGAGGAAAAGCCGGUCGACAGUCGUAAAUUGGCAGGUCUGAUACUGAAGAAUGCACUGGAUGCCAAGGAACAACAUAGAAAAUUUGAGCUCGUUCAGAGAUGGCUAUCACUGGAUGGCAAUGUGAAGACCCAGAUAAAGGCAUGCUUGUUGAAUACACUGUCUUCAGCAGUAGCUGAUGCCAGGUCCACGGCAUCCCAGGUCAUCGCAAAGAUUGCGGGUAUUGAGUUGCCUCAUAAGCAAUGGCCUGAGUUGAUAGGUUCACUAUUGUUAAAUGUUCAUCAACAAUCGUCGCAUGUCAAACAAGCCACCUUGGAGACCCUUGGUUAUUUGUGUGAGGAAGUUUCUCCAGACGUCAUAGAUCAAGAUCAGGUGAACAGGAUAUUGACAGCUGUUGUCCAGGGAAUGAAUGCAUCCGAAGGAAACAAUGAUGUGCGACUUGCUGCCACUCGAUCCUUGUACAAUGCUCUUGGGUUUGCUCAAGCAAACUUUAGCAAUGAUAUGGAACGUGAUUAUAUCAUGAGAGUUGUUUGUGAGUCCACACUGUCCCCUGAAGUGAGGAUACGCCAGGCAGCUUUUGAAUGUUUGGUUUCAAUUGCAUCGACAUACUAUGACAAAUUGGCCCGGUACAUCCAGGAUAUUUUUGGCAUUACCGCAAAGGCUGUUAAGGAGGAUGAAGAAUCUGUUGCUCUUCAGGCCAUUGAAUUCUGGAGUUCUAUUUGCGAUGAGGAGAUAGAUAUUUUGGAAGAGUAUGGAGAAGAUUUUACCGGUGAUUCUGAUAUACCAUGCUUUUAUUUCAUCAAGCAGGCACUGCCUGCGCUUGUGCCCAUGUUACUUGAGACACUUCUUAAGCAAGAAGAGGAUCAGGAUCAAGAUGAAGGGGCUUGGAACAUUGCCAUGGCUGGGGGUACAUGUCUUGGGCUAGUUGCACGAACAGUGGGCGAUGAUAUUGUUCCACUUGUCAUGCCAUUCAUUGAAGAGAACAUAACAAAAUCAGAUUGGAGGCAGAGGGAGGCAGCCACUUACGCUUUUGGUUCAAUUUUAGAGGGGCCUGCUCCAGAAAAAUUGAUGCCAAUUGUGAACGUGGCUUUAGCGUUCAUGCUGACUGCCUUGACUCAGGAUCCAAAUAACCAUGUAAAGGACACAACUGCAUGGACCCUUGGACGGAUAUUUGAAUUCCUUCAUGGUUCAACUCUAGAUACACCAAUAAUUAAUCAGGCUAAUUGUCAACAAAUAAUUACAGUUCUGCUCCAGAGCAUGAAGGACGUUCCAAAUGUGGCAGAGAAAGCCUGUGGUGCUCUCUAUUUUCUUGCUCAGGGUUAUGAAGAUGUUGGCUCAUCAUCUCCUCUAACUCCAUUUUUUCAAGAAAUUGUUCAGUCCCUAUUGACUGUUACUCACAGAGAAGAUGCUGGGGAAUCGCGGUUGAGGACUGCUGCAUAUGAAACGUUGAAUGAAGUUGUGAGGUGUUCAACCGAGGAAACGGCCUCAAUGGUGGUGCAACUGGUACCAGUCAUCAUGAUGGAGUUGCACAACACCCUCGAGGGUCAAAAGCUCUCAUCUGAUGAAAGGGAGAGGCAAGGUGAAUUGCAGGGCCUGCUUUGUGGAUGUCUACAGGUUCUUAUUCAGAGGCUAGGCUCAUCAGAGCCUACAAAGUAUAUGUUCAUGCAGUAUGCGGACAAUAUGAUGGGUCUUUUCCUGAGGGUCUUUGCUUGUAGAAAUGCUACGGUUCAUGAGGAGGCCAUGCUGGCCAUUGGUGCUCUUGCUUAUGCAACUGGCCCGGAAUUUGCCAAGUACAUGACUGAGUUCUAUAAAUAUAUAGAAAUGGGGCUUCAGAAUUUUGAAGAGUACCAAGUUUGUGCUGUCACUGUUGGUGUUGUAGGGGAUGUAUGCAGGGCAUUGGAAGAUAAGAUUUUGCCUUACUGUGAUGGCAUUAUGACUCAGCUGCUUAAGAAUUUGUCUAGUGAUCAAUUGCAUCGCUCUGUUAAACCCCCUAUUUUCUCGUGCUUUGGUGAUAUAGCACUGGCUAUAGGGGAGAAUUUUGAGAAAUACUUGAUGUAUGCCAUGCCAAUGCUCCAGCGGGCAGCAGAACUAUCUGCACACACUGCCGGUGCUGAUGAUGAAAUGACCGAGUAUACGAACUCCUUGAGAAAUGGUAUUUUGGAGGCAUAUUCAGGGAUCUUCCAAGGUUUCAAGAGCUCUCCAAAAACUCAGCUCUUGAUCCCUUAUGCUCCUCAUAUACUUCAAUUUUUGGAUAGUAUAUACAUGGGAAAAGACAUGUGAGUUCUUUGCUGAUCUCUCUCUCUCUCUCUUUCUUUUUCUAUGUGAAUUGGAUUUUUGUUUAAAUUUUUGCUUGUUUGUUUUUCCUGUAGGGAUGAGGUUGUGAUGAAAACUGCCAUUGGGGUCCUCGGAGAUUUAGCAGACACACUAGGAAGCAAUGCGGGUUCUCUGAUUCAGCAAUCGGUCUCAAGCAAAGACUUUUUAAGUGAAUGUUUGUCAUCAGAUGAUCAUUUGAUUAAAGAAUCUGCCGAGUGGGCCAAAUUGGCCAUCAGCCGUGCCAUUUCCAUUUGAGGCUUUUGGUGGGUGGCAUAUUCUUUUUUCAUAUUCAGAGUCCUUGCAUGCAUUUGGGUGUAUUGAGUCGGGGUCCAGCAUUGCAUCUCACAAGUCGUCAUCACUAAUAGACAACGGAAGCUGUUCACUCCCAGUUGUCACUAACUCUUGCAUCAUCAUCUAUUGCAUUAGCAACGUGAAGUCUGUUCAUCUUCUCUUGUCAUGGUGGAAGCGGGAGGAUUCAUCCAUCAAGUACUGUCAUUUAUACAAGCUGGGUCGGGGUGGGGUGGGGGGUCGGUUCGAAUGUAUCUCUGAUUUGAGAUAAAUACCCAGCCUAAAAGAGGCUUUACACCUUUAUGUGGGUAUGGGAUGUUGAAAAAGGAUGAAUGAGAGUACACACAGGGAGUUGUUUUCCCUCCUUGUUAUGCUCCGCUUAGGCACCCUUGUGCUACUUUCUCUGAACUUCUACUUCGUUUAGCGCGGUUCUUUUUAAAGGAUACUAUCCAUUCAUAUUUUUGUUCAAAUUUUUGUGCAUCAGUUUUUAUGAAUUUCAAGGUCUCGUUGUAUUCAGUUAUUCAAACUGUACACCUUCUCAUACCAAUAUACCCUUACCCUUAAGAAGGGUGUCGUUAUUUUAUGUUUUGUACAAUAUACAUGUUAGUAAUUAGUUAGUAUGGCGAUUCUUAAAAGUUGUGGUGACAUUCUGUAUGAUAUGCAUGUUCUUAUAAUAAGAAACAUGAAAGGAAAUUCUGAUGGGAAUAAAUGGUGAGCUAGGUUAGUGUCCUGUGUUUGUUUUGGUAUUGGAACGUAUCUUUGUUUAUUUGAAAUAAAGGUAAAGCAAAGGAGGGAAAGCUUCCUUGACAUCUCACAUGUGAAAGUGUAAAAGCCGUUUUCCCGCUCUUUUUUUGAACCAACCAAACCUCAUUACAGCAUUUGGCUUUGUUUUCAUCUUAAAAUCUCUUCUUCAUUUCUAUCUUUUCUUGCUUGAAGAACAAACUGCACAUAUUUGAUUGAUUUAAAACAUGUACUCGAUGAUGAUAUUCACUUCUCAUUGGGCCUAAAAAUCAGGGUUUUUAUUUGAUUGACGAUUUAACGAAAGCAUAUUAUAAUAAAAAUAGGUAGUGAUUAGCAGUAUAAUCUCCGGAUGAAGAAGCUUAAAUGAAUGCAUGUUAUAUUUGUUUUGAAACAUAAUGCUAAUAUGUUGAUAACUAAACAGUAGUCAUUGACUGGUAAAGCGGGAUACACAAACAAAUUCAUAGAUUGCAAUUGAAUUAUCAAUAUACUCAUUUGAUAAAUUUGUAUAGCUUUUUUAAUUUCCUUAUAUAAUUAUUGUAUUUGAAACAUCUUUAAAUUUAAUUUUGAAUGGAAGAGAUGUAGUUGAGCUGUAAAAGAAGAAAAAUAAUACUUUGGAUCAAUCACCUGCUACGCAUUGUACAGUAAGUGCCAAUAGGAAGGCAUCCGAGAUGAUGCCACGCGUAAAGAGUACAAAAAUUACGUGGGGAUUUCCCGAUAUUGCGUACGCCGCCGCUUUCAAUAGACUCUGCGUUUGUUGCAUAGGUAUUUAUGCCCUCCGCCAGCGCCAGCCUUCAUUUCUCUUUUCAAUUUCCCUUCUCCGUCUUUCUUCUUCUUCUUCUUCUUCUUCUUCUUCUUCUUCUUCGUAGAUUCCGUUCCGAUUCAAGGGUUUUCCCAACUCUUCAUUCAUUCUUCUUCUCAGAUUGGCCUUCUCUUGUUUCUCUUCACUUCUCUCCAAUUCGGCCUCCCCAUGGCUGAGUGGCAAGAUUUUCUUCAAACCCUUUUCAUAGGUCUCAUAUUCUCUUAUCUUGUUGCUAAGUUGAUCUCCAUAGUCGUCUCUUUUAAGGAAGAUAAUCUCUCUCUCUCUCGUGCUACCUCUACUCCCAUUCCCCAAUCCAACGAGGGAGUUUCCAAGACCAAGCCAAUUGAAACCGAUAUCGGCUCGGGUUCUGGAGACUUUGGGUUCGCGCACGAGGCUGACUCUGUCAUAGCCGAGCAUGGUAGUGUUAGGAAUGACAGUAUUGGUGGGAGUGAUACUGAUGAUGAUGACUGGGAAGGGGUGGAGAGCACCGAAUUGGACGAAUUGUUCAGCGCGGCUACUGCUUUUGUUGCCGCCUCUGCAGCUGAUCGGCUCUCACCCAAGGUAUCCAACGAAGUACAGUUGCAGCUUUACGGCUACUACAAAAUCGCUACCGAGGGGCCUUGCAGCACGCCGCAGCCGUCUGCCUUGAAAAUGACAGCUCGGGCUAAGUGGUAUUGGUGUUUCUCUACGUUUAUGGCUUUUCCUCCCUUACCUAUUCGUUAUGACCAUUCUCCACCUAAUUCCUAAGUCAUAACUUGGUGAAAGACUGGUUUAAUUAUUGCAGGGGCAGUUACAUUAGGAAGAAAUUAUUCUGAGUAUAUUGCUCAAAAUAUUAUGCGUUUGAAGUGGAUUUCUUAAGAGUUGAGACGAAGGUCCUUUUAACAAGGGUAGGGAUAUGGUUAUAAAAGCCUUGCCCCAUCGGCCGUUUUUUUAAAAUCAGGUUUUCAAUGGGCACGGGAUGAAACUUGAAUUAUGAUUAUAUUAGGAAUGGUCAAUGUAGUUAUGGGCAUAUGAUGAACUACGUUUAUGGAAUUUUAUUCUAGUAGUUAGAGUAGAGAAAUAGUCACUAUAUUUCAUCUACUCCUGUCGCUGAGAUUACUAACAGAGUUCAAAAAGGUCAUGGAGUUCAAACUGCCGUUGCAUGGGAUAUUGAAGUCCUAAUUUUUUGACAACCAAGUAGUAUAGGUUUAGGUCGAUGUGUGAUAAGACUGGCCGAAUUUGUUGGGCCUACGCUCACAAAUAUAUAUAUAAUCAUUAUGCUGGUUCUACACUCCAAAAAAAAAAAAAAAUGGUAAAAAAAGUUAUUCCGGUUGUUUUGUCUAUUAAUGAUAAAAUGUUAUUUUGUCCCUGUAAGAUGCUUUACACUCUCGUUGUGUGUUAUCACAUUGUUAUGUUAUAGUCGCAAAAACAUGAAUUAGAAUAAGUGAAGAUGCAUGAGAUCGACUCUGUGGAGGUAACAACUUACAGUUUAUUUGGGUUGAGUGUUCUAUUUAUACUUAUAGGUAAUUGUUUUUACCAGGCAAGCGUGGCAGAAAUUGGGUGCUAUGCCUCCUGAAGAAGCGAUGCAAAAGUACAUUGAUAUAGUUACUGAGUUGUUUCCAUCUUGGGUGGCUGGUGCAAGUGGGGUGAGAACUUAAUCUCUUUAUUUCACCAUCUUUACUAUCCCUAUUUGCUUCUUGUUAGUUGUUUGUUUGUUUGUUCACUUUAUAAUUAGUUUUUAAUGCCUGUGAGGACCAGAAGAGCAAAGAUGGAAAUGCUGAUGCUAGAAGUAAAGAUUCUAGAGGACCAAUGGGGCCCGUCUUCAGCACUUUUGUAUAUGAAGAAACCGGGAAUGAGUUGUAAGGUUCCUAUUAAUGUUGAAUGCAAUUGAUUAUAACCCCCACUUUCAUGUUGUUCUUGUUCCCCCCUUUUAAUUGUUUGAAACAAUUAAACUACUCUAGUUGAUAUUAUGAACAAAAAUUUAUUGUCUUGUGCAUAGGAACACUGAAGUUCUACUAAGUCAAAGGCUUCUCUAGCUGUUUCUUUAGUCAUUAAACAACCUAUUGUUUAAUUUCCAACCGCAAUUCCAUAGCAAGGCCUUCAUUGUAAAUGCUUUCUUUCUUCUUCAUAUCAUGUUUACACAGUUGCUCCUAGAGCAAUGUUUGGUGCAGGAGCUUGAGAUUCUAGGUUCUCUUAUUUGAUGAGAUGGCGAGCCUGUCUCCCUUUUGUCUUCUUCAUGUCUCAUUCAUGUUCAUCCAUCCCUUGAACAACAAGGAUGGUCUUCUGGUGCUUCACCAAUUUUUUAUUUUUUCCUUUUCUUUUUUUGGUUUGCUAGAUUAAUAAAAUUGUGGAAACGUGCAUGUAGUUGAAGGGAGAGAAGAUGAUUAAGAUGCAUAAUUGGUAUAUAAUUGAAAAGUCGAGAAAUGUAAAAUUGCAUAUAAUUGGCAUAUAGUUGAAAAGUGCAUAUAAUUGGCCUCCAGUGGUUAAGAUGUAUAGGAGAAUGAUGUGUCAGUAGAGUAGAGAGUGGGGGUGAGCCAAGGUUAGGGGAGUGGGGCCCAGUUUGUCAGGAAGUUGUUAGAAGAAUAUAUUGUGUAAAUAUAUGAAAUAGGGAGAGAAGAUGUGGACAUCUUUUUUUGUAAUAUGAGAGUAAAUGGUUUUGAGAGAGAUUGGAGAUCUCUCUAAUUCUCUCUUCGUUCUUGUAUUUCUUCUUGAACAUAAAGAACAGUUGUUGAGUUCUAUCAGCUUUUUUCUAAGCUGUUUACUCCUUUUUUUCUCAUGGACGAUAUUUCUCUGUUUUCUUAUUUUCCCUUGGUUCCUGUGUUCCUCCUUGUUGUCUCUUGUUUUUUAUGGCUCCCUUGUGUGCCAGGUCUGUAUUUUUCUUUUAUGGCUUGGUUUGAGUGAAAACAGUUCACAAUACCUUUGCUUAAAUUAGAAAAUGGUUAAUAAGCACCAUGCACUCAUUUCACCAGUUCAGCCUACAAGAACUGACAAUAUUGAUGGGUGGUUUUCUUAGUUUACUAUGAUUCUAACGGAAUGCCAUUCUCAACAUGAAAAUAAAUUGUCUAUUAAUGAUGGUUAAUUUAAAUGGUUGUAUGAGUUUUGUCUAUUGAUGAUUUCGUUUUGUUUUUCUCGGUAAGAAAGUGAACUUUCAUUGAUAUAAAAAAUGAAUGAACUACAAUGGAAUACAAAAGACAAGCCCAACAAAAAGAGGAAGACCGAUACAGGCUGCAGAAAGGGACUUCAUUCCAAUAAAAUGAAAGCAGGAUUAUACAAAAACUUAGUGAUAAAUACCCAAACCAAGAUCAUAUAAAGACUUAAUGAGAUGCCCAAACAAGGGCAUUAAUCUAGACACUUGCUCUUACCACUACCUUUGUUCGGACAAGGAGCACAACACAGAGUAGUAUGGAAAGAACAGAUUCUAAUUUACUGUUUACUUCAUAAUUAAGAAGCAAUGCCAACAUUUUCUAUCUGAAUCCCUUUUAACUACUCUUGAUGUCUUUCUUUUUUAUUUCUUGAUUUUAUUUUGAGAUUUGACGUAUUCAUUCCCCAUUCUAUUUUGACUUCCCUCAUUUGCUUCUUUUCUGACAAUCUGAAGCUUUUCAAGCCCACACUAGGAAUCCCACUACUGAAAAUUUGAUUUCAACUUUCAGGGAGCUGGAAGAUAUUCAUGGCUUUGCUAGAGAAGGAGAAUUGGAAAAUUUGCUGAAGUGUAUAGAAAAUGGAGUUUCAGUGAAUAUCAAGGGUUAGUUUAUCAAACCAUCUUUGUUUUAGUUCUUAACAAUAACGAAUCAUAAGUUUGCUUAGUGCUUAAAGUAUUUGAAUGUGAGUUACAAAAUCAGUAACCUCUUAGAGAAUUAAUUUUUUAAAAGUUAACUUAUUAUUUGAUUUCCAAAAAUGAGAUAGGUCUAAUGAGUCGUGGAGGUUGGUAAAUGACUUGAUUUGUGAUGAUUUUUGAAGUAGACAUGUAGACUUGAUUAAGUUAGUUUACCUUCUUAGGACUCUAAGAAUCAAGGCAAAAGUGUUGUGGUAUUAUGGAUCUAAAAACUAAGCAAAUGAGGCAAAUCUGGCUUAUCUUAUAUUUAAUCUGAAUCUAAGCUUGUUGCGAAAAAAAAAAAAAACUUUUAAGUGACUCAAUGAUAAGCUUGAUGCCUUGGAUCAGUUCUAUCAGGGAAGCAUCGGUUAGUGUGUUCACCUUUUAUACUGAGCCACAAAAGAAAUCCUGGUUUUGUAAGAAUCAUGUAUGAUUUCUAAAUGAACAGCUUACCUUCCGGUGUUGUGGGACUGUGUGGUUUUUAUUUUGAUAACCUUCAUAGGAAUCACCAGAUGAUUCGGGUUGGGUGUGCACUCAUUAUGCGGUUCAGAGUUCCAUAAUCUACUGAACAAUCCAGUUAGGCAUAUAGAUAUGCUCCUUUGCUGACUAAUAUGACGGCAUCAUUGUGGUUUUAUGUCACUUUUUUAAAUUCAUAUUUCAUCAUUGCACUUCAAUUUAAUAGUGAUGAUGGUAUCAUGGUUUCUGCAUCAUUCUCUCACUACUCUACAGGUUCUAUUUUCUAUAGUUGUGUCUUUUGUGGGCAUGGUUUUCUCUUUUUCGUAUGCUCUUGUAUUCUUUUAUUUUUAUCACAAUGAAAGUCAUUGUUUCUUGAAAGAAAAGUAGCGAGUUGCAAGCCAUUUUUUUAAAAUUUCUUUUAUGAACUGAUAUUUAUGCUAAAAAGAUUUGAGAAACCAACUUAUUUAACUCACCUCACUUAAAAAAUGGAUAACAAAUCAACCUAACAAGCAAAGGGACAAUAAGUCCCUUCCCUAACGAGAUUAGGUUAUGAGAACACCUCUAAUGGUGAAAGUGGAAUAAUUACAAAAAAAGAAAAAACUUGUGAUAGAAUUGGAAGAUGGAAGUAUACAAAGUAACAAAAUUUUCUUUUUUUAAAAAAAGAAUUGAACCUAUGUUUGAACUCUAAAGACUCAUUCCUUUCCUUCCAAAUUAACCACAAAAUAGCUUUAGCCACACACUACUUAACUCUAUAGGUUACCUCUUUCUCCUUGUGCUAUCCAUCCUUCAUUUUCUUUCUUCAUUUUUCCUCUUUGAAAGGAAAUACAAUUCUAUCAACAUAACGUUGUAUACAAAGGGAAGGAAGGUAAGGGGCAAUUUCUUUCCUGUCCACCAAAAGAUAAAAGUUCUGAAGUUCCUCUCUGUUCAAGUAUUCCACAGCAGUUUUGCAACGAUACUCGACCAAAUAUUUUAGUCUUUUUCUUGAAUGGAUGUUUAAGCCAAAAGGAGUGAAGGUUGGAAGUAAUUGUUUUAUUGACAGGCAGGAUCCCAUUCAAACAAGACUAAGAGUUGGCUACAAAAGAUAGUCGGAAAUUCACAGUGGAUAAUUGUUGUGAUCAUGUGAGUUUGAAUCGUGCCUGCAGUUUUUGGGUAUUCCUGCUGCCCAAGACAUCUUUAGAUAAGGAUUUUAACUUUCUUCGGGUAUUUUAUCCUCCAUCUUUAAUUAAGAGAGAAGUUGUGUUGAAGCAUUGCCCAACACAGACCGCACAACCCUUGGAAGUCAACCAUCUUGUUUUUCCAAUAUCAUGACUUCCUAGAUGACCUCUUCUGGUUAAAGUUCUUUUGUUCCAAGUAAAGAGCCAUUCCUGAAUCCUCUGACGAGAUAGCAUUUAAAUCUUUCUUUCCCAACAGUUAACUUGAAACCUUCUGAGAUCCAGAUCUCCACGGGUCUGGGAAAGUUGCAUGCUAUCCCCUCACGAGAGAAGAGUCUAGCUGCAACUUUGUAUUCGGAGUUUAAGUUUCAAAAUGCUUCAUGAUGCUGGGUGUGACUUGUUUUUAUAUUAAAAAAAAUAACAUUUGAAAAUAUUAUAUGACAUGCGGUCCUUCCACUAAAGUUAUUUGUAUUUGUUUGUUUCUUUAUUAUAAAUGAUUCUAUCAACAUGCUGGAAUGGGUACAUUUUUCUUUCCUUCCGAGGACGAUGUUGAGUUAUAUCUCCUAAACAAUUCUUUUGAACGAUUGCAGACAGUGAAGGCAGAACCCCGUUGCACUGGGCGGUCGAUCGUGGCCAUUCUAAUGUUGUGGAGGUGCUUGUUAGCAGGAAUGCUGAUAUUGAUGUUAAGGUACCUAGAAUGUAUUUAACACUAUAUUUACUGAUCAGAACUGUCUGCAACCACCGAUCCAAAACUCUACUCGGUGGCACCUUUUGCCUAUGCCACUUUUCUUAAUAAAAAAUGUUCUAGCUACUAGUAAUAUUAGAGAGACAUGACUAUUGGCAGCUGGCACCUUAGCUAAGGCCAGAUUUCAGAGAUCUGCAAAUUAUCAUUUUAUGUAUUUUGUUAAAAGGUAGAUAGUAGAUUUGUUUUUGAAAGCUCUAUACAAACUUACUAAAGUAAUAGUGGCCUACUGGAUCUAACCCUAUGUUUACUAUUUGAUUGAAAUUUUGUGCACUCUCUGAUGUAGGACGUUGAUGGCCAAACUCCAUUACAUUAUGCUGUUGUAUGCGACCGAGAAGGGAUUGCCGAAUAUCUUGUGAAGAACAAUGCUAACGUUAGUGAAAAAGACAACGAAGGAAAGUCACCUUGUGAUAUUUGCGAGUCUAACUGGCCUUUCAUGGUCUCUGCAAAGAAGUAGAAAUUGGCAGAUGAUUUUAUCAUGUUCGGUGUGCCUUUCUCCUAUCUUCUCUAAUUGAUUAUUUCACAUGUUCCUUUUGAAUGUAAAUACUCCCAUGCAUGGCCUUUCCUAACAGCAACAACUUCAUUAUAAAUAGAUUUGGAGUAUUUAUCACGUUUGCCCCGUUUCAUAAUCCAGAUGCUGAAUAUUAUUAUUUAGGGUAAAACAGAUAGAUAGUUGAUAUCAUACCUGGUACUUUAUGUCAUGGGAGAUUUUCUAGUACUUAAUCUCUUAGGCUUUCUAUAAUAACAUCUAAAUAAGAAUAACAUGUUGAUGGAAUUUUGUUUAUCUUCUGAUAGAUCAAUAUCAAAUGAAUAGGACUUGACGUCCAUUGCUUAGAAAUGAAUACGCUUUCUGUUUCUGAAGUGGAAAUGGUCUUCGACUUAUUUGUUAUGCCAUUGUUGCCCCUUAGUGCUCUAUUGCUAUUUACUACUUUUGACUACUGGAUUUCUAUUCCUCGUGAUAGAGAGGUUUGUUUUGUAAUUUUCAAUUUUUUAGGAAGAAUGUGGGAAGUAAUAUAUUGGGAUGCAGAUGUGCCAUGCUGUUAUUUUAUUAAUUAUUAUGCAAAUAGAUAGGUAUGCCCUAAGGGCUAUUAUCCCUAUGAUCACAAGGGGAUAGUUCUGAUUUUUGAUUUUAAUUCAUCUUUCUUGAAUCUUUAAGAAAGAAAGUCCAAUUAAAUUCGUACUGACACAGAUGUGAUUAAGGUUUGAUUCUUUCAUCUGCUGCAUACUAUCAACAAUUUAUAGUCAGAUUCUCUUACUUGCAUGUUGGCAAAAAGAAAAGAAAGUUCACUUAAGCAGUUUUGAAUAUUUUAAAAAUUAGAAUUAAUCCUUGCUUUGAUAAUUUUUUUUCACAAGUAGUCCUCGUAGUUGGAUAUAGAUAUAGACUUUAUUAUAGUUCUCAUAAUUAGUCCCUCUCGGUCUAUCUAUUAAGAUUCUGUUUUGUUAAACAAUAGAGGUUAUAUAUUUUAAUUAACACAAUAUUUUCCUAUCUUCCUCUCUAAUGAUGACAAGAAGAGGUUUAGGCCAUUCUAACAAGUUUUUGAUGAGAAUUUUAAAUUUAUUUUAGUACUCUAAAAUUAUCUGAAAAUUCCAAAAAUAAUAAAACUAUUUGAAAUGCUUUUAAAUGAACCACCCUUCUAUUAGGGUUUUUUUAUUUUUAUAUAGAGAAAUAUUUGAAGUUGGAUUGGUGCUAUGGUGGGUGUGGAAUUGGGCAUUGGGAAUCGCAAUAUUAACUAUUUUUCUCACCUGGAUAUUUGAGCUUCUAUUUAUGUAUUCUAUUUUCAUAGCAUGCAAUGCCCCUCCUUUACCUUUUUAACCAUAAACUCUCUUACUACAUUAGUUUUAAACUCAACAACCCAAAUCAUAUGUGUUCGGUAAUAAUUUAUUUGAAUUCUUUUUUUACUUCAAUCAACCAUCAAGAGGCAUAGCUGGAAAUUACAUAGCAAAGAAGGUUGAUCUAAUCUCAAAAUAAUUGAAUUUAAAUAACACUAAAAUUUGUAGACUAUUCUAAGUUUCUUCAUAACUAAGCAACAGCUCUUUAGUUAUACAAAUCUAUGGCCAUUGACUUCAAAAUAUCACAAAAUCUAACUCAAACCAACCCUACACCUCUUAUUGUUGGGUUAUGUAAUCCAUUAAUACUCAAUACCCACAAGAAUGAAAUACUCAUAUUUAUCUACAAAAUACACUAAAUUCCAAUUUAAUCAAACACAUAUCAGUAAGAAAAAAGGGGGCAGUUUCAAUAGGUAUAACUGUUGGAACUAAUAAUUAAGUAAUAUUUCAAAGAAUUCUAAACAUUUUAGAUAUUUUGAGUUUGAUUAUUAUACAUGCUAACCAUUAGUAACUAUUUAAAAAUAUGAAUUAGUAUCUUAUCUUUUAAUUUCGAAGAUCAUAUUUGUUGAAAGUGUAUUUUUUAAAGUACAACUUAACAUAAAAGAUUAGUAUUCGGACCUCAUGAAAAUGAGUUUUUGUUAGAUUAAUUAGUGAGGGUAGAGUCCAGCAAGGCAACAAGAAGAAGGUUGUGAUUGGGUGUACGGCUCAGACUUAAAACCCUAAAAAUGAAUUCAAAUGCAUCCGGAAAAUACUCUCUUUUAAUUAUUGCUUUUGGUUUUAGGCCCAAAAAUAAAAUAAUAAUAAUAAACAAAAAAAAAAAAAAAAUUAGUUUUUAGAAUUUCAAGUCCAGACUUUGCUUUGCGCCCUUCCACUUUCUUCUUCCUCUCGCUCUUUCCCCUUCUUCUAGGGUUCCUCCAACUGCCGUCUUUUCGCUCUUCUACACUCUUCUUCUUUCUUUCAAUCCUCUCAAUUUCCCCAUUUCAGGUACUGUUUUCUACACCCUCUUUCUCCUUUUCUUCUUUCGCUUUCUUUUUCCUUCCUUUUGAUCUGUCCAUUUUUUUAUUCAUUUUUCUCCGAUUUAUCCAUUUUACGUUUCUCCAUCUUCACCACGACUCACUUCUCCAUUUGUUUUGUAUUCUCUUUUCACUAUCUGUGUUUUUAUUGGGUUUUUCUUCUUCUUUUUUUUGAACUGUGACGAGUUUCUGAUUGUGGUCUGUGUACCAUCACAUUUACCUCAUUUCGAUCCUCUAAGCAUCUGUUUUCGUUCUUAUUUCUUAUGGUUUUUGCCGGAACGCUGUAAUACAUACAUAGAUGGUUGGUCCACAUGACUUUGAGAGCUGGAUUCUCGAUAGAUCACCUGCAGUUCAGUUAGUUUUAUUAUUAGUCGUUGGCUGUGCUGUUGAGAUCUGGGUUUUGGCUCUUUGUUCUUGGGUUUUGUUACUGCUAUUGUAGUUUUCGUCUUUCCCUUAAAAUUUCUUAUUGAGGUUUUGGGAUUCGAUUAGUACUUGUCUAGUAGAUGGAUUUGUGAAAUUUAAGCAGUGGGGUAAGUCACCAAUUUCCUCAAUUAACAAAUUGUUUGUUUUCAGGUGAAACAUGGCAUUGGAGGUUACGCAAGUUCUUCUGAAUGCACAGUCUAUCGAUGCAACUGUGAGGAAGCAGGCAGAAGACAGUUUAAGGCAAUUUCAGGAGCAAAACCUUCCCAGCUUUUUGCUGUCUCUCUCUAAUGAAUUAGGAAGCGAGGAAAAGCCAGUCGACAGUCGUAAAUUGGCAGGUCUGAUACUGAAGAAUGCACUGGAUGCCAAGGAACAACAUAGAAAAUUUGAGCUCGUUCAGAGAUGGCUAU